AUUAAAAUUAUAAUUAUAUAGCAGAUUUAAGUUCUGUGUAUGAGGUAACUCUUUUAAUA
RNAcentral lists this transfer RNA (59 nucleotides) under Hyalella kochi. RNAcentral describes it as "tRNA-Leu". Lineage: Eukaryota; Metazoa; Arthropoda; Malacostraca; Amphipoda; Hyalellidae. The record is from RNAcentral.